UGGGCUUGUCUUAAGUCAAACCUUUUUAAAUUUGACCAAGAUUUUAGAAAAAUAUAGCAAUAUUUCUAAAACAAAAUAAAUGUGCUACAAAAAUAUAUUCAAUGGUGGAUUUAACGAAACCAAUUUGGUUUUGUGAAUGUUAGUACAUUUUUCUAUAAAAUUGAUCAAACUUGAAGAUGUUUGACUAAGGAGAAACCCAA
RNAcentral lists this microRNA precursor (200 nucleotides) under Oryza brachyantha (malo sina). RNAcentral's name for it is "MIR1435 microRNA precursor family". It matches the Rfam family "MIR1435 microRNA precursor family". Lineage: Eukaryota; Viridiplantae; Streptophyta; Magnoliopsida; Poales; Poaceae. The record is from Rfam by way of RNAcentral.